RNAcentral lists this ribosomal RNA (253 nucleotides) under uncultured bacterium. Its description in RNAcentral is "partial 16S ribosomal RNA". It matches the Rfam family "Bacterial small subunit ribosomal RNA", at positions 524 to 776 of the family's 1533-position model. The record is from RNAcentral.
UACGUAGGGUGCGAGCGUUAAUCGGAAUUACUGGGCGUAAAGCGUGCGCAGGCGGUUCGUUGUGUCGGCGGGGAAAGCCCCGGGCUUAACCUGGGAAUGGCCGUUGAAACUGGCGAACUGGAGUGUGGCAGAGGGGGGUGGAAUUCCGCGUGUAGCAGUGAAAUGCGUAGAGAUGCGGAGGAACACCGAUGGCGAAGGCAGCCCCCUGGGCUAACACUGACGCUCAGGCACGAAAGCGUGGGGAGCAAGCAGG